RNAcentral lists this unclassified non-coding RNA (403 nucleotides) under soil metagenome. Its description in RNAcentral is "partial contains 5.8S ribosomal RNA, internal transcribed spacer 2, and large subunit ribosomal RNA". The stretch from base 1 to 121 matches the Rfam family "5.8S ribosomal RNA", at positions 35 to 154 of the family's 154-position model. The record is from RNAcentral.
GAUGAAGAACGCAGCGAAAUGCGAUAAGUAAUGUGAAUUGCAGAAUUCAGUGAAUCAUCGAAUCUUUGAACGCACCUUGCGCCCUUUGGCUAUUCCGAAGGGCAUGCCUGUUUUAGUAUCAUGAACACCUCAACUCUCAUGGCUUGCCGUGAUGAGCUUGGACUUUGGGGGUCUUGCUGGCCUGUGGUUGGCUCCUCUCAAAUGAAUCAGCUUACCGGUGUUUGGUGGCAUCACAGGUGUGAUAACUAUCUACGCUUGUGGUUUUCCACCAGGUUAACCUUCAGCGAUGGAGGUUCGCUGGAGCUCAUAAAUGUCUCUUCUCGGUGAGGACAGAUCUUUGAACGUUUGAUCUCAAAUCAGGUAGGACUACCCGCUGAACUUAAGCAUAUCAAUAAGCGGAGGA